This 400-nucleotide ribosomal RNA is filed under the name phytoplankton environmental sample. Its description in RNAcentral is "partial small subunit ribosomal RNA". It matches the Rfam family "Eukaryotic small subunit ribosomal RNA", at positions 587 to 974 of the family's 1831-position model. The record is from RNAcentral.
AGCUCCAAUAGCGUAUAUUAAAGUUGUUGCAGUUAAAAAGCUCGUAGUUGGAUUUCUGGUGUCUUUUCGCGUUCCUUCUUUGCCAGCAAACUGCUGGUGUUGGUCGCGAUGGAUGCCUUCUUUCUCCACAAAUUUGGCGCUGAAGCAUUAGUUUGCUUCGGUGUCAAAUGGGGAUCAUUUACUGUGAAAAAAUUAGAGUGUUCAAAGCAAGUAUUAUUUCUUGAAUACAUUAGCAUGGAAUAAUAAGAUAGGACUUGGGUACUAUUUUGUUGGUUUGCAUACCCAGGUAAUGAUUAAUAGGAACAUAUUGGGGAUAUCUGUAUUUUUUAGUCAGAGGUGAAAUUCUUGGAUUUAAGAAAGACAAACUACAGCGAAAGCAUUUAUCAAGGAUGUUUUCAUU